Long non-coding RNA from Aegilops tauschii subsp. strangulata, 3575 nucleotides. RefSeq lists it as uncharacterized. The record is from RefSeq and is a predicted model, not a curated record. NCBI's taxonomy places the organism in Eukaryota, Viridiplantae, Streptophyta, Magnoliopsida, Poales, Poaceae.
CAAUCUGAUCACGCUCUCCUCCAUGCCAAACGGAUCCUUGGUUCGGAGGUGCGCGAUGCCGACGAUGACAACCUUUCUAUCGACGCAAGGGCAGCAGGAGCUCAUGACGCUGUUGAUGGCACCACCAUGCACAGGGUUGAUGCAAGGUGGGACAAUGCGAUCACUAAUGGGGAGAACAUAAAACUUCAAUUGAGGGCACUGUGAUUCUCUAGCUACAUGUAUCAUAGCUUCUGCAGGAGGGCGUCACCUGCGGCAUCACUUGCAUCGACCUCUCACCGAUCACCGUCCCGAGGAUGCACGACAGACUAGCAGAGCAGGGCACCAGUGAUUGUUUCACCAAUUUGCUCGACUCAUUGUUCCCUUCCUCUGUCCAUGCAACGUUGCCCAUUGUUGCUAAGUUGUUAAUUCAUCAGGCCCAUUAUUGUGGCUACAUAGUCUGUUCAUCUUGCCUGCCUUCUUAGGAGAAACCAAUUUACUGAAGGUUGGCAAUUCCGAAGUUAUUGCCUUUCUACUUCAAACUGAAAUAAUUCCUCUUUGUCUUUAAUAUGGAGAUGGGUACUGAACUUUAAAAAACAGUAUGAACUCAACCCCUUCUGUAAAUCAAAUAUUUCAUUUGUGGGGACGAUGUGGGGCUCAUGUCGAGCACUUCACCUGCAAUGGGUGUGGCCUUCUCCGUCUGCCAAACAUGCUACAAGUACGAGCACCAUGAGGGAACUGCCUGGAGUGCAAGACCUGCCACAAGCUCCUCAAGGGUCAGUCAGCCUCCACCCACGACCGAAGGCACUUGCAGAUGUGAAGAAUAUCCAUGUCCGAUUACAUCGCCAGAAAGCAAAAACCAUGAGGGCCCACCCUAAUCAUCAAGGGAUUUUUGAAACGAGCAGAAGAUUAGUAACUUCUACGACAUCAAAGAUCUGACCUUUUAGAGUAUGCACCAUAUUGAUUUACUUAUUGAUUUAUUCACACUAUAUCAGAUUUGUCUUGAACGUGAUACAUUAUUGACUGUACUGGACAAGGGAAGUUAACUGUUUUAAUUAUAUAGGAUUAGUAUGCACCAAUUGCUGCAUAAGUUCUCCUUGAUACCAAUUUACAUACUUGUGCUACUAGGCCUUUGGUCAGUUUGCAACUGGUAUUUUAGACAUGUACGAGUAUUCUCAUGGUAUUUCUAUAUAUUUUAAUUAGUACCAGAUGGAAUUUGCGAAUUAGUCUUACAAAGAGAAGAGAAAAGGAAACAUUAUUCACGAGUUUGCAGGAAUAUGGAAACUCAAGGUAGUCUGUUAGCAUAAGUAAAAAAUGUUUUUCAUUUUAUUUCUUGGUUCGACCAAAUUAUAUUUUAUCCGAACGUAUGGAUGAUCGACACAAUGGACGUACGUAGUUUCUAGUUAGCACUACUCGGAUAACAAUUAUGCCUACUAUUACCAUUUUUGUGCAUUGUUUGGUCUUAUGCAUUUUAGUUAAAUACAUCCUUUGUGGCGAAUAAUGAUUUUUGAGCAUACUAUCUUCUUUUCAUGUGGGGAAAUCGCUGAUAGAAAAGAAAAUUGUGUUUCUGAUAUGUUAUGCUUAUUUCUAAGUGCUUCCAAUUUCGAACUACUAGGUAUGCAGCCUUAGAUGAACAACUACCUCUUUAUUUGCUUGAGGAUGAUUUGAUUGUGCAAUUAAGACUACAUAAUUUCACUUUUCAUUUAUAUUUAUUGGUGAGGGCGAGCUGGCGGCGACAUGGCGCGCUGGUGGCGUGACCGCGGGUUCGGCCAGGGUGCAAGCCAAUCUGGCAUGUGCGCUGGCGAAGUAAGGCGUAGAGGUGCUCCGGCCGGCUGGGUGCGUUGGUCCGUGGCGGAGGUGCGAGGUGGGCGUGGAUCUGGCGCCUAGCAUGCGCGAGGGAGGACAUAUGGGCGUUGUGCGUUUCUUCGCGGCGGGAGGUGUGACUGUGCUGCUCUGCAGAUUGAUGACGUUGUUCUCCUGGUUUCGUGGAUCUGCAGCGGGGUAGCCGGUGGUUGCGGCGCCAGAGAAUGCUGGGGCAGCGGCCUCGGGCUGAUGGCUGCUAUGGCAGGGGCUGCUGCACCGGCUCAGGAUGGUGGAUUUGGAGCGAUGCACUCAGAUCUGACCCUGGCAACCGCGUUGGUUCUAUGUCGCAUGAGUUGCUGCAGCUAGUCCUCGCGUGAGGGCUAUGCCGGCUGACGGCAGGGGGGUGCCCUACACAAUGUGCUUGGCUCUGAUGGUCUGGGUAUCGUUGCGUGACCAGAUUUGCAAGCAAGCUCACUGAUAGGAGAUCAGGGGCUCAGGCGAAAGCUCCGUGACCUUCUUAGAGGCAUAGUCAUAGACAUCUUCCUAUCCUUUCAUGUGCUUGGGUUCUCCGGGUGAGAACCUAAACUCCAGUUUUCUGGAGUGGGUGGCGGCGGCGUUUACGUCGUAACCAUCUUCAGAGGCGUUGCCUUGGAGGGCCAGCCUUUGGAUGUCGUGUGGGGCUCUUUCGUUUUCAAGGGCGGUGUAUGUCGGGGCUGCGGCUCCGGGAUCUUCUAUUAAGUGUCGAGGCUGCGGCCUCGGGCAGUACUGCGACGACAGCUCCAAGAGGUAGGGCUGCUUGUUGGCAUGGCUUGGGUGAGGACCUUGAAGUGCGGAAGCAGCAAGGUUGUCAGCUCCGUCAAUGCGCCCCAGUCGGGACUGUUGGACGACAUGUUGGGGCAGCGGCCCAGGAUGUGGUGCAGCGUUCGUGGUCUAUGUGCGGUUGGCCUGAGCAGCGUGAGCUGCGGGUAGCUGUAUCGUUCGGCGUAGUGCCGGCCAGGUUGUCGCUCAUCCAGGUUGCCGACCGGGAAGAGGUGUAGUGCCGGCCAAGACGAGAACAAGGGGAAGCUGCUUGGUUGUCUGUGUUCAUCAAAGAUCAGGAGUAGUAGAAAUUCUUAAGGGCAUUGGGAUAUUGAACUGCAGAUAGCUUCGGCAGGUUUGUUAGGCUAAUAUAAAGUAGGGACCUUUGCUACAUAAUGAUACAAAGAUGAUACCGAAGGUUGUUUUGCAACUAGCAAGUUUCAAGGUCACAUGGAUGCUGACAGCUCUCAGGUGUAUGGCCUAUUUGUUGCUGGGUAUUGUUGCCUUUCUUCCUGGUUUAUACAGCGGAGGAUCCUGAGUUGAUGCAUAUAUUGGCUCAAAAAGUAACUAGGCUCUGAAGUGCAGAUUGACAAGAGAGUUUCUGCUGCUAUUUGUUAAAUCUUAAAGAAACGUCUGUUCCUGAGGUUUACAAGUCCCCUUGUUCAAAUAUGAAAAUGAUUUAUUUGCAAACUUCAAUGCAAAAUGCCAUCCAGGGGGCCAGGGCGAUUAGAUGCCCAUCACUCACGGCGGCAAGAAGUUCCGUGUCGAGUUGAUGAACCAGCACCAGCUGGGAGCCCGGAUGAAGAAGGUUGUCCCCGCGGAGAAAAAGGAGAAGUGAUGAGAUGUUUUUGACAGCUAAUGGAUGAUGUUAUCUUAGUCUGUGAAUUUUUGUUUUGGUCGAUUUAGAAACCUUGUUUGAUGUCUGAAGAUCCCUUUUUGCCCACUGUUCAAACCAUCUCUUCAUUUUUGUGUAAAUGGUAACAAUACACUUCAAACAA